GGCCGCGGGAAUUCGAUUCAGGCCUAACACAUGCAAGUCGAGCGGUAGAGAGAAGCUUGCUUCUCUUGAGAGCGGCGGACGGGUGAGUAAUGCCUAGGAAUCUGCCUGGUAGUGGGGGAUAACGUUCGGAAACGGACGCUAAUACCGCAUACGUCCUACGGGAGAAAGCAGGGGACCUUCGGGCCUUGCGCUAUCAGAUGAGCCUAGGUCGGAUUAGCUAGUUGGUGAGGUAAUGGCUCACCAAGGCGACGAUCCGUAACUGGUCCGAGAGGAUGAUCAGUCACACUGGAACUGAGACACGGUCCAGACUCCUACGGGAGGCAGCAGUGGGGAAUAUUGGACAAUGGGCGAAAGCCUGAUCCAGCCAUGCCGCGUGUGUGAAGAAGGUCUUCGGAUGUAAACCACAUUGAGUUGGGAGGAAGGGCAGUUACCUAAUACGUGAUGUUUGACG
This 451-nucleotide ribosomal RNA is filed under the name uncultured bacterium. RNAcentral's name for it is "bacterial SSU rRNA". It matches the Rfam family "Bacterial small subunit ribosomal RNA", at positions 39 to 474 of the family's 1533-position model. The record is from RNAcentral.